This 67-nucleotide transfer RNA is filed under the name Schistosoma mansoni. Lineage: Eukaryota; Metazoa; Platyhelminthes; Trematoda; Strigeidida; Schistosomatidae. The record is from RNAcentral.
CAGUAGCUAAGUGGAUAGCGUGAUGGCGUUUGAAGCGAAAGGUACUGGGUUCGAAUCCCAGGGUGAA